RNAcentral lists this non-coding RNA (26 nucleotides) under Homo sapiens (human). The record is from RNAcentral. Lineage: Eukaryota; Metazoa; Chordata; Mammalia; Primates; Hominidae.
UGACUUGCAGCAAUUGUGAAAACCAA